CGCGGUGAUUUAACAGCUUUUGUUUUGGGCAGAAGAACCUAUGGGCACAAAAAGCAGGAACGAGUAGCGGUGGCUGAAGAACGAGCAGGAGCUUGAAUUUCAGUUUUCUUAUGAGGAAUUUUCCAGAAAAGAUAUCUUCACUGUGAAAUAACUAAAUAAAUGCCCACUCAGUACAGUCACUGUCUCCCUUUUGGAACUUGAUGGCACCUUAAGCCCAGGUUUGCCUCCACUCUAGAAACUCAUCAGAGUGAUGCCCUUCUCAAAUGGGGGAGGUCCCAAAGCGGAUAUCCUGGCAGUGUGAAAGGCCGGCUAAAGGUUUGUGCCAAGAGGAUCUGUGGAAUGCAUCUCCUACAGCUGGUGCUGCUGAGUAACCACUCUGAUCUGGCAUCUUCUUUGAUCAAGUUACAGAGCAGAGUUUCCAGGGCUGGGGAUUGAAGUCCUGCCUCCUCCCUUUGUCUCUGGUUGUCCUCGGUAAUGUUUUUCCCUCAAGGUACUCAUGAUACUUCCCAUGGGCUUUCCCUGCACUCCAAACACAGAGCUGAGACUUCCACCUAAUGUAGAAAGCUAGCACGAGCCGGCGCUGACAGAUGGAAGACUUGAGAUGUUACAAGAUUAUAUAUGGAAACACAAAAGGAGUGGAGUUGCUGGGUCAUAUGGCAAUUCAUUUGAGGAACUGAGAAGCUUAUUCCAUGGAGGCUGAACUGUUUUAUAUUCCCACCAGCAACGUUAGAGACGGGGUUUCACCGCGUUAGCCAGAAUGGUUUCUAUCUCCUGACCUCAUGAUCCGCCCACCUCGGCCUCCCAAAGUGCUGGGAUUACAGGCGUGAGCCACUGUGCCUGGCCAAACGCUGGUAGGUUUUGAGUGAGACCACAUUACAUUUAAAUAUAUUUACAAUGUUUUCUGCUCUAUUCUUUAGUAGACUUUUCCUCACGUGGUCCUACGCAUUUCUUUCUAAGUUUAUUUUCAUAUAGCCUAUCCCUGUCUACAAUUUAAAUUGGGAUCUUCUAUAUUCUAGUUAUUAUUUGUAAAUAAGAAAACUACUGACUUUUUUCUAGUAUAUUUUCUCAGAAUAGGAUUUUCUAUUUUUCUAUAAAAUGACCAAUGUUAUGAAGCUUCGUAAGUUUUGUCAAAGUGAUACACACAUACAGCAAAAAAUCAAAUAGUACAGAAGUAUAAAAGCAACAACCUCUGCCUUGCCCCUUCUCCACCUUCAGGUCCCCUUCCCAGAUACAAUAAUUUUUAGCUUUUUAUUUUUAAUUAUUCUGGUUGUUACCUACAUAACUCUGGGCAAUAUGGAAAAGUUAUUGAUUUUGUAUAUUAAUUUCAUAAUCAGUUACCUUGAUGAAUUCUCUUGUUUCUAGUAGUUUUUCUUUAGGGUUUUAAAGGGAUACAAUCAUACCAUUUGCAGUUAGUAACCAUUUUAUCUCCUCUUAUUUCCAACUUCGUACUGUUUUCUCUUGUCUAAUUUGUUUUUAAUUGGUGGGUACUUCUAGAACAAGGUUAAAUAAAAGUGGUGUUGGUGGGCGUCCUUAUUUCUGAUAUUAAUGGGAAUGAGUAUAAUGUAUAAAUAUAUAACCAUGAUUUUGGUUUUUUUCCAAGUUUUUAUCAGUAAUGAUUGCUGAGUUUUAUCAAAAUUUUUUUGGCAUCCAUUGAGAGGAUUAUAUAUUACUCUUUGACACAUUAAUGUGGUUAAUUAAAGUAACCAACUUAUUAACCUUGAAAUAGUCUUAGUUAAAUAAACCCUACUUGUCAAUGCUAUAUCAUUAUUUUAAUAUUGUACUGAACAUUUUACAAAGGUGUUUCACCAUAAGGCAUAUUGAUCUGUAAUUUUUUUUUUUCUGUUGAACUUGCUAUUGUCAGGUUUUGGUGUAUUAUGUUGGUUUUGGAGAAUAAAUUUAAAAGUUUCCUUUAUGUUAUCUAUACAUUGCCUGAAAAGAGUUUAAAUAGCAUUGAAAAUGAUCUCUUCUUUGAAGAUUUAACCAAUUUCACCUGUAAAUCUGUCUGUGCUUUGUAAUUUUGGUGAUACUGUUGACUCAAAUUCCAAAAGCAGUAAAUGCAGUGUUUUAUAUUUUUCUAUUAAAAAUGUAAAAUCAAAUUAUAUUA
This 2104-nucleotide long non-coding RNA is filed under the name Homo sapiens (human). Its description in RNAcentral is "PREDICTED lncRNA (TCONS_00152802)". Lineage: Eukaryota; Metazoa; Chordata; Mammalia; Primates; Hominidae. The record is from RNAcentral.